UACUGUUUCUCAUGAUGGUUUUCCAUACUGGAACCCAAAGGUAAAGACACUCAAGGACAGACAUUUUUGGCAGAGAUGGAAAGGAAGUGGAAGACAGGCAGAGUGCACCGUAUCAAGGGAGAACUUCAAUUCUGCGGGAUGGCAUCACUGAAGGGAAGGCUGCUCUCCGAAUACACAACGUCACAGCCUCUGACAGUGGAAAGUACUUGUGUUAUUUCCAAGAUGGUGACUUCUAUGAAAAAGCCCUGGUGGAGCUGAAGGUUGCAGCACUGGGUUCUAAUCUUCACAUCGAAGUGAAGGGUUAUGAGAAUGGAGGGAUCCAUCUGGAGUGCAGGUACACCGGCCGGUACCCCCAACCCCAAAUACAGUGGAGCGACGCCAAGGGAGAGAACAUCCCAGCUGUGGAAGCACCUGUGGUUGCAGACAGAGUGGGCCUAUAUGAAGUAGCAGCAUCUGUGAUCAUGAGAGGCGGCUCCGGGGAGGGUGUAUCCUGCAUCAUCAGAAAUUCCCUCCUCGGCCUGGAAAAGACAGCCAGCAUUUCCAUCGCAGAGAGCCUCCAGGAGGAACUCAAGAGGAAAAAAAUCCAGUACUUGACUCGUGGAGAGGAGUCUUCGUCCGAUACCAAUAAGUCAGCCUGAUGCUCU
RNAcentral lists this small RNA (644 nucleotides) under Pan troglodytes (chimpanzee). RNAcentral describes it as "processed transcript". The record is from RNAcentral. Lineage: Eukaryota; Metazoa; Chordata; Mammalia; Primates; Hominidae.